CAGUAGCCGCGGUAAUACAGAGGGUGCGAGCGUUAAUCGGAUUUACUGGGCGUAAAGCGUGCGUAGGCGGCUUCUUAAGUCGGAUGUGAAAUCCCUGAGCUUAACUUAGGAAUUGCAUUCGAUACUGGGAAGCUAGAGUAUUGGAGAGGAUGGUAGAAUUCCAGGUGUAGCGGUGAAAUGCGUAGAGAUCUGGAGGAAUACCGAUGGCGAAGGCAGCCAUCUGGCCUAAUACUGACGCUGAGGUACGAAAGCAUGGGGAGCAAACAGGAUUAGAUACCCCUGUAGUCCCUGUCUCUUAUAC
RNAcentral lists this ribosomal RNA (301 nucleotides) under uncultured bacterium. RNAcentral describes it as "partial 16S ribosomal RNA". It matches the Rfam family "Bacterial small subunit ribosomal RNA", at positions 509 to 807 of the family's 1533-position model. The record is from RNAcentral.